RNAcentral lists this ribosomal RNA (133 nucleotides) under Erinaceus europaeus (western European hedgehog). Lineage: Eukaryota; Metazoa; Chordata; Mammalia; Eulipotyphla; Erinaceidae. The record is from RNAcentral.
GUCCACAGCCAUACCACCUUGAACAUGCCUGAUCUCAUCUAAUCUCAGAAGCUAAGCAGGGUUAGGCCCUGGUUAGUACAUGGAUGGGAAAGAAAUAUACAGAGAGAAAGAGAGAAAAGUAGGUAGGUGGGUA